CGAAAAUGUUACGUUACGUUACGAAGGAACAUAGAGGUUCCGUGAUAAAGAAUGGGCUUAAGAUUGUCACGUAAGGUGGCGUGAGGAGCUACGACAAUGUUCGUGCGCUGGCCCUUAUUAGAGAGACAGGGAGAGACGAGAAGAAACGGGGAGAGACAGGGAGAGACGGGAAGAGACAGGGA
Odontomachus brunneus is the source of this 182-nucleotide long non-coding RNA. RefSeq lists it as uncharacterized. The record is from RefSeq and is a predicted model, not a curated record. NCBI's taxonomy places the organism in Eukaryota, Metazoa, Arthropoda, Insecta, Hymenoptera, Formicidae. The transcript is spliced from 3 exons.